GCAAUCCUUGCUGAUAAGCAGGAUGAUAAGUAAUUGAACUGUAAUUACGCCGUAGGUAUUUAUGCAAUCGAUGCAUAAAUAGAAGGGAAUUAAUACGCUGUUUUGCUGAUAAGAAAGCGAACACAUAUUGAAGGAACCCAACA
Molecule: non-coding RNA, 143 nt
Filed under: Photobacterium leiognathi lrivu.4.1
Lineage: Bacteria; Pseudomonadati; Pseudomonadota; Gammaproteobacteria; Vibrionales; Vibrionaceae
Description: DABA-DC-AT RNA
Rfam family: DABA-DC-AT RNA
Source: RNAcentral